AGCGUUGACGACUUAAAAAGAAAA
RNAcentral lists this small nuclear RNA (24 nucleotides) under Arabidopsis thaliana (thale cress). RNAcentral's name for it is "snRNA_12218". The record is from RNAcentral. Lineage: Eukaryota; Viridiplantae; Streptophyta; Magnoliopsida; Brassicales; Brassicaceae.